Molecule: ribosomal RNA, 231 nt
Filed under: uncultured bacterium
Lineage: Bacteria
Description: partial 16S ribosomal RNA
Rfam family: Bacterial small subunit ribosomal RNA
Source: RNAcentral
CGGACGGGUGAGUAAUGUCUGGGAAACUGCCCGAUGGAGGGGGAUAACUACUGGAAACGGUAGCUAAUACCGCAUAACGUCGCAAGACCAAAGAGGGGACCUUCGGGCCUCUUGCCAUCGGAUGUGCCCAGAUGGGAUUAGCUAGUAGGUGGGGUAAAGGCUCACCUAGGCGACGAUCCCUAGCUGGUCUGAGAGGAUGACCAGCCACACUGGAACUGAGACACGGUCCAG